Long non-coding RNA from Astatotilapia calliptera (eastern happy), 2025 nucleotides. Lineage: Eukaryota; Metazoa; Chordata; Actinopteri; Cichliformes; Cichlidae. The record is from Ensembl.
GUCGAGAUCAAGAACAAGAAAGAAGUGAGACAGAGAAGCACGAUGGAUGAAUUCAGAUGGAUUAAAAUGUUUUCAUGUCUGAUGCUCAUGAUUCAGAUCGCAGUAUCUGUAACUGAAGCCUCCAUGUUUAUUAAAGUUGGAGAUGACGUCACUCUGCCUUGUGUGAAUGUGAUAGAUGAGCAGAAUAACUGUGAUGGGACUACGUAGAGCUGAUCACACUUGGACAGAUUGGUGAACAAGCUAAAACUAAAUCAGACAGACUGAGAGUUACAGUGAACUGUUCUCUGCUCAUAAAGAAGCUCACAGUCGGGGAUGUUGGUUGUUAUUAUUGUCGACAAUACGAAGUCAAAGAAACACCAUCUAAACACACUCAGGUUCAUCAGUCUUUGGCUCGUCUCUCUGUUAUUACCUUGACUGAACAUAAGGACAAUGAUACGCUGAAGUUAAGCUGCUCUGUGCUGACAUAUGAACAGUGUCAUCAGUGAAGUGGCUGCUUACAGGUCAAGAUGUGGACAAAGAGAACAAACAAUUAGUGACUUCACAGACUCACUGCGCUGCCACUGUGUCUGUUCUGAAGAAUAAUUUUUUGUACUCAUCACAUCAUAAAACAGUGAAGUGUGAAGUGACUGAUACUGAAACAGGAGAAGUGCAGCUGUUUACCUUCAGCCGUCAGACCUCAGGUGAGGAAACAGGUGACACAAAAACAACAAAGAAUCCAGCCAGAAAAACUGAAACAACCACAACAAUUAAGACGCUUCUAAAAUCAGAUGAUACAACAGCAAAAACUGUGGAAAGUGAAAACACGACACCAAACAACAAAUCAUCUGCAGAUUCACAACAUGCGAUCCAGUGGUUCAUCAUUCCAGCUGUGGGCUUCGUCUCACUCUUGAUAGUUGUUUUGUUUUUCAUCAGAUGGAAGAGAACUAGAGGAAACAAAACACAGAUGGAUGAAGAUGCUGGACUGAGUUUAAACCCAGCAGAGACUCGGUCUGCUCCUCAAACCAGUCAGGACUCGGCAGAUCCUGAAGUUUCCUACGCUACCAUCAGCUACACCAAGACCACGAAUAAAGUUCAGGUUCGUGGUGAUGAUGAAGGUGAUGCAGUGACCUACAGCACUGUGAAGGCUCAUUCCUCUUCUGCUGCAGCCACUGCUGAUCCCAGCAGCCUCUACUCUACUCUCAGUUUCCCAGUCACAUAGUUCAAGUUGACAAAAAGGACUCGCAUUUAAGUUAAAGACUAAUUUUGUGUUUGCAUGCAACAGAUUGAUAGCGACGUGCUAAUUAUCAUAAACUAUUAGAUAGAUACCAUUAUUAUAACAAACAUUUGGUUUCAAAUCCAGAAGCACGUCUUUAUAUCCUCCAUUAAAACUAUAUAAAUAAAUGUAAAUAGAAACUUUAUUUUCUUUAUGAAAUCAGACCAGUGUGUUUCCAGAAUGUGAUCACUGGAGGGCAACUUGCAUGUGACAAAUAAAGUUCUGAUUGAUUGAUUGAAGUGUGAAUAUCUAAAUGUACCCACAUAAGCCUGGUAUAGAUAUUAAAGAUAUAGUUAUACAUUUAUAUUUUACAAAAACAUUUCUGCUAACAUUUGUACAUUAUUAACAUAUUUGCAACUUAACAACAAAAAGUUGUUCCUGGUUAGUUCAGCAGAAGACAUGUGGAGGUUAAAUGUAAUUUAAACCCUGCUAACACUUGCUGUUCACUUUAAUUUAGCUUCAGUUUUUUAUUUCCUGUUUUACUUUGAAGUUUACUUUUCUUUCAUGUCUCACAUUACUCCUACUUUUUAUUUUGUUAUUUCUCAAUCUGCCCAUAUUGUCUUCAUCUGUGUUUAUCCUAAACCUCAACUAGUCCUCGAUGUAUAUAAAGUCCUGUCCUCCUUUAUCUUUCCCUGAUCAUUUGUUGGAUCUUGUGAUUCGGGUUUCUUCUUUAAGUUUUGUUUAGUUCCUUCCACAUUCAGUUCUCAAUUUUGUUUUCGUUACAUUUUAAUAUGAGCAAUUUUUAAGUCUGCUGUUUUCCAUUUUAUUUCUGC